Molecule: ribosomal RNA, 525 nt
Filed under: uncultured bacterium
Lineage: Bacteria
Description: bacterial SSU rRNA
Rfam family: Bacterial small subunit ribosomal RNA
Source: RNAcentral
ACAUCCAGAGAACUUAGCAGAGAUGCUUUGGUGCCUUCGGGAACUCUGAGACAGGUGCUGCAUGGCUGUCGUCAGCUCGUGUUGUGAAAUGUUGGGUUAAGUCCCGCAACGAGCGCAACCCUUAUCCUUUGUUGCCAGCGGCUCGGCCGGGAACUCAAAGGAGACUGCCGGUGAUAAACCGGAGGAAGGUGGGGAUGACGUCAAGUCAUCAUGGCCCUUACGGCCAGGGCUACACACGUGCUACAAUGGCGCAUACAAAGAGAAGCGACCUCGCGAGAGCAAGCGGACCUCAUAAAGUGCGUCGUAGUCCGGAUUGGAGUCUGCAACUCGACUCCAUGAAGUCGGAAUCGCUAGUAAUCGUAGAUCAGAAUGCUACGGUGAAUACGUUCCCGGGCCUUGUACACACCGCCCGUCACACCAUGGGAGUGGGUUGCAAAAGAAGUAGGUAGCUUAACCUUCGGGAGGGCGCUUACCACUUUGUGAUUCAUGACUGGGGUGAAGUCGUAACAAGGUAGGCGUACGUGU